GGGCUUGACAUCCCACGAAUCCCUUCGAAAGACGGGAGUGCCCGCAAGGGAGCGCGGAGACAGGUGGUGCAUGGCUGUCGUCAGCUCGUGUCGUGAGAUGUUGGGUUAAGUCCCGCAACGAGCGCAACCCUCACCUCUUGUUGCCACCAGGUCAUGCUGGGCACUCUAGAGGAACUGCCCCGGUCAACGGGGAGGAAGGCGGGGAUGACGUCAAGUCAUCAUGCCCCUUACGUCCUGGGCUACACACGUGCUACAAUGGCCGGUACAAAGGGAUGCCACACCGCGAGGUAGAGCUAAACCCAAAAAGCCGGUCUAAGUUCAGAUUGGAGUCUGCAACUCGACUCCAUGAAGGAGGAAUCGCUAGUAAUCGCGUAUCAGCACGACGCGGUGAAUACGUUCCCGGGCCUUGUACACACCGCCCGUCACACCACGAAAGCCAGUUGUACUCGAAGUCGCUGAG
Molecule: ribosomal RNA, 460 nt
Filed under: uncultured Methylomirabilota bacterium
Lineage: Bacteria; Methylomirabilota (SeqCode)
Description: bacterial SSU rRNA
Rfam family: Bacterial small subunit ribosomal RNA
Source: RNAcentral